GGAGGCAGAACUCCUGCCCUGGGCAGUGCCAGCCCUGAGCAGAUGGAGCAGAGAGGCUGUGGAGUCUCCUCCCUGGGGACAUUGCAGAGCCACACGGACACUGCUGGGCCCUGUGCUCUGGGAUGGCCCUGCUGGAGCAGGGAGGUGGCACCAGAGCAGCCCCUGUGGGCCCCUCCAGCCUCACCCACCCCGGGGCUCUGGUGUGGGGUCAGAAGCAGGACAGGGGCUCAAUGACAGUGAAAAGUCUCACCACCAACAAAACAAAUUAAGAUUCCAGAAGGAGAGACACAGAAGAAGGGUGGAACUCCAAUGGGGGAAAAAAGAAGCAGUGACAGACAGAAACACAGCAAAGCAGGACAGUGUGGCUGGCAGGGAAGGCUGCUGCCAUUGAAACAAGUGUGGACAGGGUUCAAGGAAAUGGAGCUCAGAGUCAGCUGAACUUGGAGGUGUCAGGAAAACAACUGUACCUUGCAGCAUGGGUUGUCAGCCUAAUUAGUUUGGAGGAGGAAAAAAUUUGUGCAUUUCUUAAAAAUAAAAAGAUGGAAUACAUUUCAUUGAUAUUCCUAACAUUUUCACUUGAAAUUUAUUUAUAAAGUCACUGAACUAAUGAAAAUUUUGUUGAGAUCUGGGUGCAGCUCCCUCUGUUCAAACCCUUCUCUGUU
Non-coding RNA from Taeniopygia guttata (zebra finch), 662 nucleotides. NCBI's taxonomy places the organism in Eukaryota, Metazoa, Chordata, Aves, Passeriformes, Estrildidae. The record is from RefSeq and is a predicted model, not a curated record.